CAAAUGUGCAGCAGAGAAAGCUCGCUAUUGCAAGUCAGUUCCACUGAGGAGGCGUCGCUGCUUCUGCUGCCGCCGAUGUGGGUCCUUGAUGGUCCUGGAGAGACAAGCCUUGGGGUAGGACUCCUUUGUAAGGUCUGGAUAUAUAAUGGAAGAGACUGACAAGCUACAUGUGUUCUCUGGAGUCAGACACAUGGAACUGGAAUCCAGAAAGCCUUCAAGUUCUAGUGGACAACCACUAAUUCUGUAAAACUAGGAACCGGAGUACUAAGUACUUGUGAGCCUCCUGAGUGAGUAAUGGCAACCAGACCCAGGUCCCCUGUAUGAAGAACAAGUGCUCUUAACCACGAAGACAUCUCUCCAGCUUGGGUAAUGGCAACCAGGCCCAGGUCUUCUGCACGAAGAGCAAGUACUCUUAACCACUGAGACAUCUCUCCAGCUUGGGUUGUUUUCGGUCACCUCCUCUGUUUAUGGUAAUAUUGAGACAGAGUUGAACAGGUUCCAUCAUGUCUGUCUCUCUAUGGUCACCACAGUUGUCCUCAUUGCUAUCACCUCCUGAAAAAGAAAAUAGAGUAGGGGGAUUCAUUUCAAUUGUCUUUAUUAUAUUUAAAACUGUGUAUGGCUAAUGCAAAAUUACAUUUUAUUCAACCACCAUAGGGAGCCUCCAAAUCUAUGGAUUUCCCCCCAAAAAAUAGUACUGAAGUGAUGAGUUUACAAGUUUUAUGUUUCACAAUUUAAGACCCAGGGCAUACCAUUUCACGCUGUUGGGUUUCACCACAGGUUUCACACAGAAAGUCCCUGACAUCUUUUCCUGUUAUACAUGUCACAUCAUUUUGGUUAACAGUUUUUAGAUAGUAAACUAUUUUUGCAUAGUUUUGAUUGUUUUGUAGUUUGAAUAUUUAUAAUAUUUCAGAUACAUAAUUUAAUUUUUGAUACUCACCAAUCUCUUGCUUCAAGAGAAUUUUCAUCCCAUUCACCUUAGGUCCUAGCUUUAAUUUUUCUGGAAUAUUUUUAGUCUACAAAUUGAUGAUUCUUAUUCAUAUUAUUUUGCAACCCCAAAUUGAGAGCUUACCAAAUCUGUUCAUUACGUAUUAAUUUACUUUUAUACACUGCUUAUCUGGCCAGUUCUUAUCUUCAAAUAUUUAAGUGGAGUCCUGGGAUUCUAGAAUUAUGAGUCUUUUUCAUAGUUGGUGAUGUCAGCCUAAUACAUGUAUGACAAAUAGGGUCAACAUGAUAUUUUCAGGUCGUUUCUUUCCAUCAUAUAAAAUUUCAUUUUCUCCCAUAGAGAAUCAAGUGUUUGAAAAACUUUCCAAAAAUAUUAUGUGCACAUGAUAUGUGGAAGGAAAUUAUCCAAUGCUUUCCUGAAGGCAGAGCUGGCUGUAACCCAUAAUUGAGAGUGCUAGACCUCCCAAAACCAUUCUUCUUCAGUUAGUUAUCAUGUCCUUGUAGUUUCUGGGGUCUCUCUCUGCCCCAUCUCCAUCCCUCCUCAUAUAGACUUAUGCAUGCAUCAUGAAACUGUCACCACAGUCGUUAAGGUCGCAAAUAUGUCCACUAUCUCCAAGAACUUCCUUUCAUCUCCUAUCUCUUGUUAUAAGACCACUUACCUUAGUAGUCCAACACUAGGGAGCGGCAGCUUUAAGUGUCCCAAAGUUUUUUUCUUUGCACAGUAAUGUCAUCAAUCUUGUUUUGUGGCUGUGAAAAUUGUUGUGUACAGAGGUUAAACAAAUUACCCAAGGUCACAAAGCAGAUGAGUGAGAUCUGGGAACAGAUCCAACUCCAAACUGCAGGGUUGACAUAUUAUCUUCCAUUGCUUCCCACAGCUGCUGGCAGGCCACUCUCUCCCCCUGCAUUAAGUAAAAGCCAGCUAUUUUAACUUGCGUUCCUGAGUUGAAGUCAAUGGAGUUUAACUGUAAUUGCUAGAAUGUUAUCUCGGUUGAAAAAAAUAUAUAAAUAAUGAAUAGAGGUGAAAUAGAUCCAUCCCAAGUCAGUAUUAGUGACAUCAUCCUUCUUCUCUAACCGCUUACUCUCCUGAAACUGCUUACAAAUGUGCAAUACUUUCACCAUGUUUGCAUGAAGACAGCACCUGACUAUCAACAUUUUAGACCAAGUAUUCCUUUGAUAUUUGCAUAGCUGAAUAAUAAUUACAAAGAGCUUGAUAUGUGGGUAAAUAAAGGCUAUUUUCAAGUAAAGAAAAAAUAUGAAGUACAUAAACUUGCUGUUUUGAAUUUUUCUGUAAAAGCACAGAUGUUCUCCAACAAAUCUAUAUAAUGACUCAGUCAAUGUUAGUCUUCUAGAAGCCAAAAGAGUUCAUUUACCUUCCAGCUUAGGGACCUAAGAAAUCAUAAUGUCCUGUCAGCCACAAACAGAGUCAGUAGGCCUCCUACUUCAUGGAGAUUGGUCCCUGGGCCAGUUGUUUCUGUUUUUUUCAUCACAGACACCUGUGAGCAUACAAGUCAGGCCCUUCAGUGUGUAGUUUCUUUGAAUCUCAUCAUCUCAUGUGGUUCCUGCAUUACCUGACCAUACCUUCAGACACAGCUGAAGGCCUAGUUUUGUGUGUGUGUGUGUGUGUGUGUGUGUGUGUGUGUGUGUGUGUGUGCGUGCCCUCAGAUUCAUGCUCUGUUCUAAUGCAGACACUUGAAUGCUGCCUCCUCAGCCUGCCACAGGAGGUAGCCCUUGACUAAUAAAGAAACAGUCCUAAGGAAAUACAGUUAAAAGAUCGUUACAACAUUUAAAGGGUUUCUCCACAGAACAAAUUUUCUGAUAUUAGAAAAGGCUUGCCCACACUCCUUACAUUCAUAUGAUUUUUACCCCGGUAGGAAUAGCCCUAUCAAACAAGGGGGGACUCAUGCUUGAAGGACUUAUCCAUGCACCUUGCAUUCAAAGGAUCUUUUCAUUUUAUGAACAACUUUAUUGUUAUUAAUUUUGUUGCAAAGAGGAAAAGUGUUUUCACAGUCUUUACAUCCAAAUUUACACUGUGUCAGCUAUAACAUUAUUGAUAAAAUUAAGAUUGGUCAUUUGGGUAAAAUGAUGUGUGCCAGAGCUCUAUUAAAAGGUCUAGUUUGUUGUAGAUGUGUAUCUAUGUGGAGAAACUAUUACUUCCAAACAUGGAUAUGUGUAGUUUA
This is an RNA transcript of Mus caroli (Ryukyu mouse), 3119 nucleotides long. RefSeq lists it as uncharacterized. The record is from RefSeq and is a predicted model, not a curated record. Lineage: Eukaryota; Metazoa; Chordata; Mammalia; Rodentia; Muridae.